This 468-nucleotide ribosomal RNA is filed under the name uncultured bacterium. RNAcentral's name for it is "partial 16S ribosomal RNA". It matches the Rfam family "Bacterial small subunit ribosomal RNA", at positions 28 to 507 of the family's 1533-position model. The record is from RNAcentral.
GACGAACGCUGGCGGCGUGCUUAACACAUGCAAGUCGAACGGAAAGGCCCUGCUUUUGCUGGUUGCUCGAGUGGCGAACGGGUGAGUAACACGUGAGUAACCUGCCCUUGACUUUCGGAUAACUUCAGGAAACUGGGGCUAAUAUCGGAUAGGAUCUCUUGCUGCAUGGUGGUGGUUGGUAAGUUUCGGCGGUUGGGGAUGGUCUCGCGGCUUAUCAGCUUGUUGGUGGGGUAGUGGCUUACCAAGGCUUUGACGGGUAGCCGGCCUGAGAGGGUGACCGGCCACAUUGGGACUGAGAGACGGCCCAGAAUCCUACGGGAGGCAGCAGUGGGGAAUAUUGCGCAAUGGGCGGAAGCCUGAUGCAGCAACGCCGCGUGCGGGAUGACGGCCUUCGGGGUGUAAACAGCUUUCGCCUGAGACGAAGAGUGAGUGACGGUAAUGGGUAAAGAAGCACCGGCUAACUACGUG